AAUUGCAACAUGCUGUAUGGAUCGAUGCAUAGGCUUAUGUGUUGAUGCAUACUGACACAAAAUGGAUUUUAUGAGUUAUUUUAAGAGAUGUAUCAAUGUAGAUCUUUAUGUACAGACAUGCAACAAUAGAAUGGGAUAAAACACACUAAAAACACUCAUGUGUCAUGUAUGGUAAUGCACAGCCAUCAUUUGGAUGAUGAUCACACAAUUUUCUAUCAUUCAAAAGCUAUUCAAAGUAAAGAAUUUUC
This 248-nucleotide long non-coding RNA is filed under the name Lathyrus oleraceus (garden pea). RNAcentral's name for it is "Pisum sativum (pea) long non-coding RNA (PSAT_LNC004350)". Lineage: Eukaryota; Viridiplantae; Streptophyta; Magnoliopsida; Fabales; Fabaceae. The record is from RNAcentral.